This 1213-nucleotide long non-coding RNA is filed under the name Salmo salar (Atlantic salmon). RNAcentral's name for it is "lncRNA (ENSSSAG00000096865.1)". Lineage: Eukaryota; Metazoa; Chordata; Actinopteri; Salmoniformes; Salmonidae. The record is from RNAcentral.
GGGCUGGGGAUCGUCCUCAGCGACAAUUAUUUGAUUAGUUCAAUGGAUGUUUUGUGCACGAAAUGUGAUGACUAAAAAGUGUCUUAUUAGGAAUUUUUUUAAUCUGACUUCUCAAUGUGGCCGUUUAUGGAAAUUGUCUUUCUAGGCCGGGCGUCAAUAAAAACUGUAGUACCGAAGCAAAACUGUAGGAGCGGUCAAAACCAUGCUUCUAGACUGGAACCCUGGCCCCUUGGCUGCCACCGAGUGGAGUGUCCGGGCGGAAUAGGGUCCUUGGAUAGUAUCCAGGAGGAAUAGCGUCCUUGGGUAGUAUCCAGGAGGAAUAGCGUCCUUGGCUAGUAUCCGGGCGGAAUAGGGUCCUUGGCUAGUAUCCGGGCGGAAUAGGGUCCUUGGCUAGUAUCCAGGAGUAAUAGGGUCCUUGGCUAGUAUCCAGGAGGAAUAGGGUCCUUGGCUAGUAUCCGGGAGGAAUAGGGUCCUUGGCUAGUAUCUGGACGGAAUAGGGUCCUUGGCUAGUAUCCAGGAGGAAUAGGGUCCUUGGCUAGUAUCCGGGCGGAAUAGGGUCCUUGGCUAGUAUCCAGGAGGAAUAGGGUCCUUGGCUAGUAUCCGGGAGGAAUAGGGUCCUUGGCUAGUAUCCGGGCGGAAUAGGGUCCUUGGCUAGUAUCCGGGAGGAAUAGGGUCCUUGGCUAGUAUCCGGGCGGAAUAGGGUCCUUGGCUAGUAUCCGGGCGGAAUAGGGUCCUUGGCUAGUAUCCGGGAGGAAUAGGGUCCUUGGCUAGUAUCCAGGAGGAAUAGUGUCCUUGGCUAGUAUCCGGGAGGAAUAGGGUUUUUGGCUAGUAUCCAGGAGGAAUAGGGUCCUUGGCUAGUAUCCGGGCGGAAUAGGGUCCUUGGCUAGUAUCCGGGCGGAAUAGGGUCCUUGGCUAGUAUCCGGGCGGAAUAGGGUCCUUGGCUAGUAUCCGGGCGGAAUAGGGUCCUUGGCUAGUAUCCGGGCGGAAUAGGGUCCUUGGCUAGUAUCAGGGCGGAAUAGGGUCCUUGGCUAGUAUCCGGGCGGAAUAGGGUCCUUGGCUAGUAUCAGGGCGGAAUAGGGUCCUUGGCUAGUAUCCGGGCGGAAUAGGGUCCUUGGCUAGUAUCCAGGAGGAAUAGGGUCCUUGGCUAGUAUCCGGGCGGAAUAGGGUCCUUGGCUAGUAUCUGGGCGGAAUAGGGUCCUUGGCUAGUAUCCAG